RNAcentral lists this ribosomal RNA (389 nucleotides) under Stramenopiles sp. MAST-1C. RNAcentral describes it as "partial small subunit ribosomal RNA". It matches the Rfam family "Eukaryotic small subunit ribosomal RNA", at positions 582 to 975 of the family's 1831-position model. The record is from RNAcentral.
AUUCCAGCUCCAAUAGCGUAUAUUAAUGUUGUUGCAGUUAAAAAGCUCGUAGUUGGAUUUCUGGUGGGAGCGGCCGGUCCGCCGUAAGGUGUGUACUUGGUUGUCUCCUGUCAUCCUUGUGGGAACUGCUCUGGCAUUAAGUUGUCGGGGUUAGGGAACACAUCGUUUACUGUGAAAAAAUUAGAGUGUUUAAAGCAGGCUUAUGCCGUUGAAUACAUUAGCAUGGAAUAAUAAGAUAGGACUUUGGCGUCUAUUUUGUUGGUUUGCACACCAAGGUAAUGAUUAAUAGGGAUAGUUGGGGGUAUUCGUAUUCCGUUGUCAGAGGUGAAAUUCUUGGAUUUACGGAAGACGAACGACUGCGAAAGCAUUUACCAAGGAUGUUCUCAUUA